GCUGGUGUGAUAGCUCAAUUGGUUGGGCAUGAGACUCUUAAUCUCAGGGUUGUGGGUUCAAGCCCCAUGUUGGGCA
Podarcis lilfordi (Lilford's wall lizard) is the source of this 76-nucleotide non-coding RNA. The record is from the annotation of a GenBank genome assembly. Lineage: Eukaryota; Metazoa; Chordata; Lepidosauria; Squamata; Lacertidae.